This 540-nucleotide ribosomal RNA is filed under the name Rhinium sp. 1 BFS-2018. RNAcentral's name for it is "partial 16S large subunit ribosomal RNA". The stretch from base 391 to 540 matches the Rfam family "Archaeal large subunit ribosomal RNA", at positions 2544 to 2693 of the family's 2987-position model. The record is from RNAcentral. Lineage: Eukaryota; Metazoa; Arthropoda; Insecta; Hymenoptera; Ichneumonidae.
AAACAUGUCUUUAAGAAAAUAAUUUUAAGUYUAAUCUGCUCCAUGAUUAAAUUAAAUAGCUGCAGAAUUUUAACUGUACAAAGGUAGCAUAAUCAAUAGUUUUUUAAUUAAAAGCUGGAAUGAAUGAUUUGAUAAGGUAAAUAUUGUCUCAAUUUUAAUAAAAGUAUAAUUUUUUUUUUAGUUAAAAAACUAAAUUAAUUUUAAAAGACGAGAAGACCCUAUAGAUUUUUAUAUUUAAAUUUAAAAUAAAUUUAAAUUAUUUAAUAAAAUUUAAAUUAUAAAUAUUAAGUUGGGGUAAUUAUUAAAUUAAAAUAAUUUUAAUAAAAUUAAAACUUAAAUUAAAGGAAUUUUGAUCUUAAAUUUUAAAUAUAAAGAAUAAAUUACCUUAGGGAUAACAGCGUAAUUUUUUUGGAGAGAUCUAAUUGAUAAAAAAGUUUGCGACCUCGAUGUUGAAUUAAGAAAAAAUAUUAAUGGAGAAAUUAAUUAAUUUUAGUCUGUUCGACUAUUAAAAUCUUACAUGAUCUGAGUUCAAACCGGAGA